This 1311-nucleotide ribosomal RNA is filed under the name uncultured bacterium. Its description in RNAcentral is "partial 16S ribosomal RNA". It matches the Rfam family "Bacterial small subunit ribosomal RNA", at positions 102 to 1428 of the family's 1533-position model. The record is from RNAcentral.
ACGGGUGAGUAACACGUGAGCAACCUACCUUUUACAGGGGAAUAACACCGUGAAAACGGUGCUAAUACCGCAUGAUAUCAAAUUGUGGCAUCACAAAUUGAUCAAAGGAGCAAUCCGGUAAAAGAUGGGCUCGCGCCCGAUUAGUUAGUUGGUGGGGUAAUGGCCUACCAAGACUACGAUCGGUAGCCGAACUGAGAGGAUGAUCAGCCACACUGGGACUGAGACACGGCCCAGACUCCUACGGGAGGCAGCAGUGGGGAAUUUUCCGCAAUGGGCGAAAGCCUGACGGAGCAACGCCGCGUGAGGGAUGAAGGCCUCUGGGCUGUAAACCUCUUUUCUCAAGGAAGAAGACAUGACGGUACUUGAGGAAUAAGCCACGGCUAAUUCCGUGCCAGCAGCCGCGGUAAUACGGGAGUGGCAAGCGUUAUCCGGAAUUAUUGGGCGUAAAGCGUCCGCAGGCGGCCUUUUAAGUCUGUUGUUAAAGCGUGGAGCUCAACUCCAUUUCGGCAAUGGAAACUGGAAGGCUGGAGUGUGGUAGGGGCAGAGGGAAUUCCCGGUGUAGCGGUGAAAUGCGUAGAUAUCGGGAAGAACACCAGUGGCGAAGGCGCUCUGCUGGGCCAUAACUGACGCUCAUGGACGAAAGCCAGGGGAGCGAAAGGGAUUAGAUACCCCUGUAGUCCUGGCCGUAAACGAUGAACACUAGGUGUCGGGGGAAUCGACCCCCUCGGUGUCGUAGCCAACGCGUUAAGUGUUCCGCCUGGGGAGUACGCACGCAAGUGUGGAACUCAAAGGAAUUGACGGGGGCCCGCACAAGCGGUGGAGUAUGUGGUUUAAUUCGAUGCAACGCGAAGAACCUUACCAGGGUUUGACAUCCUGCGAAUUCCUUGGAAACUAGGGAGUGCCUUCGGGAGCGCAGAGACAGGUGGUGCAUGGCUGUCGUCAGCUCGUGUCGUGAGAUGUUGGGUUAAGUCCCGCAACGAGCGCAACCCACGUCUUUAGUUGCCAGCAUUUAGUUGGGCACUCUAGAGAGACCGCCGGUGAUAAACCGGAGGAAGGUGUGGAUGACGUCAAGUCAUCAUGCCCCUUACAUCCUGGGCUACACACGUACUACAAUGCUACGGACAAAGGGCAGCAAACUCGCGAGAGCUAGCAAAUCCCAUAAACCGUGGCUCAGUUCAGAUCGUAGGCUGCAACUCGCCUACGUGAAGGAGGAAUCGCUAGUAAUCGCAGGUCAGCAUACUGCGGUGAAUACGUUCCCGGGCCUUGUACACACCGCCCGUCACACCAUGGAAGUUGGCCACGCCCGAAGCC